RNAcentral lists this ribosomal RNA (496 nucleotides) under uncultured bacterium. RNAcentral describes it as "partial 16S ribosomal RNA". It matches the Rfam family "Bacterial small subunit ribosomal RNA", at positions 28 to 506 of the family's 1533-position model. The record is from RNAcentral.
GAUGAACGCUGGCGGCGUGCCUAAUACAUGCAAGUCGAGCGAACGGACGAGAAGCUUACUUUUCUGAUGUUAGCGGCGGACGGGUGAGUAACACGUGGAUAACCUACCUAUAAGACUGGGAUAACUUCGGGAAACCGGAGCUAAUACCGGAUAAUAUUUUGAACCGCAUGGUUCAAAAGUGAAAGACGGUCUUGCUGUCACUUAUAGAUGGAUCCGCGCUGCAUUAGCUAGUUGGUAAGGUAACGGCUUACCAAGGCAACGAUGCAUAGCCGACCUGAGAGGGUGAUCGGCCACACUGGAACUGAGACACGGUCCAGACUCCUACGGGAGGCAGCAGUAGGGAAUCUUCCGCAAUGGGCGAAAGCCUGACGGAGCAACGCCGCGUGAGUGAUGAAGGUCUUCGGAUCGUAAAACUCUGUUAUUAGGGAAGAACAUAUGUGUAAGUAACUGUGCACAUCUUGACGGUACCUAAUCAGAAAGCCACGGCUAACUACGU